UACGUAGGGUGCGAGCGUUGUCCGGAAUUAUUGGGCGUAAAGAGCUCGUAGGCGGUCUGUCGCGUCUGCUGUGAAAACUCAGGGCUUAACCCUGAGCUUGCAGUGGGUACGGAUAGACUAGAGUGCGGUAGGGGAGACUGGAAUUCCUGGUGUAGCGGUGAAAUGCGCAGAUAUCAGGAGGAACACCGGUGGCGAAGGCGGGUCUCUGGGCCGAUACUGACGCUGAGGAGCGAAAGCGUGGGGAGCGAACAGG
This 253-nucleotide ribosomal RNA is filed under the name uncultured bacterium. Its description in RNAcentral is "partial 16S ribosomal RNA". It matches the Rfam family "Bacterial small subunit ribosomal RNA", at positions 524 to 776 of the family's 1533-position model. The record is from RNAcentral.